CCUACGGGUGGCUGCAGUGGGGAAUAUUGGACAAUGGGGGCAACCCUGAUCCAGCCAUGCCGCGUGUGUGAAGAAGGCCCUCGGGUUGUAAAGCACUUUCAGUGAGGAAGAACGCCUGGUGGUUAAUACCCAUCAGGAAAGACAUCACUCACAGAAGAAGCACCGGCUAACUCCGUGCUAGCAGCCGCGGUAAUACGGAGGGUGCGAGCGUUAAUCGGAAUUACUGGGCGUAAAGCGCGCGUAGGUGGCUUGAUAAGCCGGUUGUGAAAGCCCCGGGCUCAACCUGGGAACGGCAUCCGGAACUGUCAAGCUAGAGUGCAGGAGAGGAAGGUAGAAUUCCCGGUGUAGCGGUGAAAUGCGUAGAGAUCGGGAGGAAUACCAGUGGCGAAGGCGGCCUUCUGGACUGACACUGACACUGAGGUGCGAAAGCGUGGGUAGCAAACAGGAUUAGAUACCCCAGUAGUC
Molecule: ribosomal RNA, 465 nt
Filed under: Vreelandella stevensii
Lineage: Bacteria; Pseudomonadati; Pseudomonadota; Gammaproteobacteria; Oceanospirillales; Halomonadaceae
Description: partial 16S ribosomal RNA
Rfam family: Bacterial small subunit ribosomal RNA
Source: RNAcentral